UAAGGAAUAUUGGGCAAUGGACGCAAGUCUGACCCAGCCAUGCCGCGUGAAGGAUGAAGGCCCUAUGGGUUGUAAACUUCUUUUGUACGGGAAAAAAUCUCCGGUCGUGAAUCGGAGCUGAUGGUACCGUAAGAAUAAGCAUCGGCUAACUCCGUGCCAGCAGCCGCGGUAAUACGGAGGAUGCAAGCGUUAUCCGGAUUCAUUGGGUUUAAAGGGUGCGCAGGCGGAAUGAUAAGUCAGUGGUGAAAUCCUACGGCUCAACUGUAGAACUGCCAUUGAUACUGUCGUUCUUGAGUACACUUGGAGUGGGCGGAAUGUGUCAUGUAGCGGUGAAAAGCUUAGAGAUGACACAGAACACCGAUCGCGAAGGCAGCUCACUAAAUUGUAACUGACGCUCAGGCACGAAAGCGUGGGGAUCAAACA
Molecule: ribosomal RNA, 423 nt
Filed under: uncultured prokaryote
Description: bacterial SSU rRNA
Rfam family: Bacterial small subunit ribosomal RNA
Source: RNAcentral